This 108-nucleotide small RNA is filed under the name Microcebus murinus (gray mouse lemur). Its description in RNAcentral is "Y RNA (ENSMICG00000023475.3)". Lineage: Eukaryota; Metazoa; Chordata; Mammalia; Primates; Cheirogaleidae. The record is from RNAcentral.
AAUGUAGAAAGAGGUAGUGAGUGUUCUCGAUUGUUCAUAGUCAGCUACAGAUUGAAUUCCUUGGUCUACUCUUCCCCCCUUCUCACUACUGCACUUGACUAAUUUAAA